Eleginops maclovinus (Patagonian blennie) is the source of this 539-nucleotide long non-coding RNA. RefSeq lists it as uncharacterized. The record is from RefSeq and is a predicted model, not a curated record. The transcript is spliced from 4 exons. NCBI's taxonomy places the organism in Eukaryota, Metazoa, Chordata, Actinopteri, Perciformes, Eleginopidae.
AGGAAAUGUUUGGGUAGGCACAUGGAGGGGUAAUGGAGUAGCCAUGCAGCCCUCAAUUGGGAGGGGGGAAUUUAUUCAGCUCUUUUUUAAAGUUGAUAUUAUCUAUUUAAAGUGAACAAGGAAAUCAGAGUGACUUAAGGACCAUUACCGUUGAACAAAGGUGGAAAUCAAGACCGGAUUACUAUUUACCAAUACUACAUCCGGUCAAGCUGGCGGCUGCAGUACACAAGUUUGAUGCCCACCAGCCCACUGUUGUGGUGGAGGCAGGACAGACCUCUACCAAGCCUGGAUACUCUGCUGCUCCUGCUGAAGAGAUACCAAUGGGCAGAUAUUUCAACAUCUACAGUUUCAGGUCAAGCUGUGAACACAUCUUCCCUAAUAGUGUGGAAUACAGUCAAAAGACCAUGACAGAGGCUCUGAAGAAAGUGGAAGAGAUUGACGCAAAUAUGGGAGGGACUGAGAUCCUUGAACUCUGAAAGACAUUACAGUCAGGCUUGCAUUCCCAAUCAACCCAGACCAAUAAAAUAAUAAAAGAUAAA